GAUGAACGCUGGCGGCGUGCCUAAUACAUGCAAGUCGAGCGAACAGAUGAGGAGCUUGCUCCUCUGACGUUAGCGGCGGACGGGUGAGUAACACGUGGAUAACCUACCUAUAAGGCUGGGAUAACUUCGGGAAACCGGAGCUAAUACCGGAUAAUAUAUUGAACCGCAUGGUUCAAUAGUGAAAGACGGUUUUGCUGUCACUUAUAGAUGGAUCCGCGCCGCAUUAGCUAGUUGGUAAGGUAACGGCUUACCAAGGCAACGAUGCGUAGCCGACCUGAGAGGGUGAUCGCCCACACGGGAACUGAGACACGGUCAAGACUCCUACGGGAGGCAGCAGUAGGGAAUCUUCCGCUAUGGGCGAAAGCCUGACGGAGCAACGCCGCGUGAGUGAUGAAGGUCUUCGGAGCGUAAAACUCUGUUAUUAGGGAAGAACAAAUGUGUAAGUAACUAUGCACGUCUUGACGGUACCUAAUCAGAAAGCCACGGCUAACUACGUG
Molecule: ribosomal RNA, 497 nt
Filed under: uncultured bacterium
Lineage: Bacteria
Description: partial 16S ribosomal RNA
Rfam family: Bacterial small subunit ribosomal RNA
Source: RNAcentral